Molecule: long non-coding RNA, 7849 nt
Organism: Scylla paramamosain (green mud crab)
Lineage: Eukaryota; Metazoa; Arthropoda; Malacostraca; Decapoda; Portunidae
Exons: 2
Source: RefSeq, a predicted model, not a curated record
UGCAGUAUGUCUGUUUGAGUAACUUUUGCUUAUUACUAUAUUGAUAACAGUAGAGUUUCUUUUGAAUUUGUGUUGUCAUUACAUUUCAAUGUUUUAUUUUCAUGAAGUAAAUCAUGGUUUGUCCUGUUCCUACAAAUGGUGAUACUGGUGUCGCCUCCAUGAGACACUUUGCCUGCAGAUGGUGCACACACCACCAAUUUAUGUGUCUGCCACACCCAUGUACAUGUGCUAGUGGUUGGAAUGCAAGCUUCUGUCGCCAGAGACAAAAGACCUGGUAGUUUGAGGCAGUGUUGAGCCAUUACUUGCAGCUGCAACUAGCCAGGCUAGAUGAAAACUGUGGUCUCUCAUAAAGCCCUCAACAGUCAGGUGACAGUGUGGGCUCUCCCGAGGCAAGUGUACACCGUGUGAAUGUACACACUCGAAAGCCACCGUGACUGACGCAUUGCCUGUCCGGCAGGUGGCGUCCCUCGUCAGGUGCCCGCACAGUGCCCCAUCACUGAGCAGCAGCUUGGGGGAGCAGUCCAGACACCACCACAGCCUCGCACCAAGCCUGGUGACUGCUGUUAUUUGCUUCACAAUGUUGUGAGUGCUAUAAUUGUAUACUUUAUCGAGUUUUCCGCGUCAGUUCGCGUUUGUCUUUGAACCGUUGUUAUAGCUUUUUGUUUUGUUUUGUGUGAAAACACCACUUUGCAGAGGCAGCUACAAAUGUGAAUCUGGUAUAUGAAAGACAAAUUGGAGUUUUUGAAGUUAUGAUAAUUAUCAACAAAACAGCUGAAAUACUUAUGAAAUGUUUUCAGGGUGUAUAACAAUCAGGUUGCCGCAGGACAUCAUCAGCGAGCUCAGAAAGCAAGCGAAGGGAUUGAGGUAGCAGACCCUGAAGAGUCCACAGCAGCUGAAAACUCCAUUUCUCCAUAUGCAAGCCCUGAAGUGCAGGAGUUUAUCAGAGGACAGCAGUUCCAAUCUUCACCUUUGGCUAAGGCAAACUUCCAUCCAAGCAGGCUGGAGCAAACAAACUCACAGUUCUGAGGAAGAGCAGACACCACGUCGAAGGGAGAGACUCUGUGGCAUGCAUUUGAUGCAGUGACCAUCAGAGAAUCUCUCCAUUUUGACCCGGCCUCCGAUUCCAUCAUUGGUACGAAGGAUUUUGGAGACCGUGGCAAGAGUCUGAAGCAGGCAAACCAUGCACUUGUGUUCAUGGCUAAAGGGUUGGCCAGGAAGUGGAAAGUGGUUAGGUUAGGUUAGAUCAGGUUAUGUUAGGAUAGGUCAGGUCAGGUCAGAUAAGGUCAGGUUAGGAUUGCCUUAUUUUAAGCUCUCGUCUCCAUUCAAGUACAAAGAACGAGCACUUCCGCGUUCCCCGCCCACAAACCCCUCUUCCCAACGAGUCCCCAAGGUCGCCGGGGGACGAGAGAAGAAGAGGCUGCAGAGUGAAGUGAUUCCACUGUGUUUUGUGCUCAAAAUCGUCCAUAACAUAAACAAUCAAUAACGGACAUCACAGUUUUGUAGUUUGCGGUUUGGUCGUACUGUAGCAAUUCAUCCUCCUCAGGCACGGGUUGGUUAGGUUAGGUUAUGCCUGCUUAGGAUAGGUGGCUUAGGGUAGGCUAGGUUAGCUUAGGUUAAAACCCUUCAGAGAGUCUCUUGGGGCCUUUAGCAGAGCUCGGCUCGGGGAACACGUCGCGUUCACCACCCAGCCCCUCCACGCUGCCGCCAGUCAGCACGUGGCUCAAGACUCGUCGUCAGGAGCAGGACUAAACAGCCAAUCGUUUAAAGAAUCACAUCGUGCUCAUUUUUUCAAGUGUUGGGAUGAUGUGAGUUGUGCACUUUUGUUUGCUGGUCUCCCUGUGAAUUGCAUGUUUACAUUUUUGAUGAGUGCUUGCCUUCAAGUAGGAUCUGAUGCACUCAGUGUAAAUACAAGACUGAUUUUGUGACACCUGUGAGUGCUUUCAAGAACACUUAUCAGUCUACCACCAGACUGCAACACUGCCCGUGCUGGCGAGGUGCUGCUUAAACUGAGCGGCUGGGCAGUCAGGCGUGCAUUUUGCACUGGCCACACCGACGCAAAGCAUUACCGGUGUUCACCUGACAGCCGCAGGGUGUCCACGGACGUGACCAUGAGGACUGUCCACAGUAGGCCCAAUGACAAGCUGAGGAGUGAAUUUGCUUGCUCUGUGGAGAUUCAGGGGAACCACAAUCGUCCCCUUGGCCCUGCUGAUGCCCUCGGUGAACCAAGGGUGCCCUCAGCUACACCAGAGCUAUUUGAGAGCCAUUUGAACCAAAACCCUUAAGUUAUCAUUAUUAUUAUUAUUAUUAUUAUUAUUAUUAUUAUUAUUAUUAUUAUCAUUAUUAUUAUUAUUAAUUGUUUUUAUUUAUCUGUUUGUUAUUUUCCGGUGAAAAGCAGCACUGGAUAGGGAUUGUGGGGGAGAGAAAGAGCAGGGUGAAGAUAGAGGUGUUUCAUUUCCUGAAUGUUUCAACAAGCUGCCUUCACGGGGAACAAAUUGUCACCGAAGAAGACAGCUUGAAAAAAUACCGAGGAAUGAGAGGUCUGGUGCUUCACCCUGCUUCCUUGCAACCAGCACGGUCCCCGUGCACUCGUGCAGCCUAGAGAUGCUGUCUGAUGCUUUCCUGUUGGCUUGCAGCUAGUACAGGAUGAAAUACAGUUUGUGUUCUGAAUUAGUGAGUUAGUGUUCAGCUAGCCACUGUGUUGUUUCCUUGGUGACGGUCACGUGUCCGCCACGUUCAAUGUUUUUGCCCUCUCUUUGAGAAGUGUGCACACCAACUGCUGAAAUAUUUGCACUGCAUCACAGCUCGCUCAACAAAACGGGUUACCAAGCUUAUAGCAUAACCAUUACCUGCAGGCUUACCACCUCAUUAAUAUCUAUAAGCACCUCUUGAAAUUAAGCAAUACUUCAUUUGUUUAACAUGAAUUUACAAACACAAAUGUGAAGAAAGAAAUACAUCUUGGUAAAGGAUGCAAAAUGUUGUAAACAAAAACAUUUUGCAUCACAUUCAUAUUGGUUAAUGUUAGAAAAAUGAUAAAUGUAAUAAGCUCACACACACACACACACACACACACACACCUCUAUAUUUUGAGGGAGUUUCUCCGAUACGACUCUAACCUGGGAGCUACUACUACUUUCAAAUGAACUUCUGAGUACCUGACCACUGAUGUGACGUGCCACAGGGCCUGAGUAACAUUUCUACUGCCAGUACUGAAGGUAUUAUCAAGUCUUCCCUGUACUGUUGUGUGAGCCACAGAAGGUAAACAAGGUGGUGUGUUUUGCCAUGUAUAUAUUGUACCACCUCACUGACUUAUGCAUGUAAAGAAAUUCUAUUGCUGAACUCCACACAAGAAUGGCACACUUCAUUGGGUCUGAACCUGAAGAAUGAGUGAAGACAAAGGUAGAAAAUGAGCUUGCUAAUAUAACCAGCAGCAAUGAUGGAAGGGAAAGCAGAAGUGUAAGUAAGACGAUUAAGGAUGCAGUUGUUAUGCUGUCCAGCCUGGCAGCAUAAUUUCGGUCGCUGUGUCUACGGCUGUAUCUACUGCUUUCAACGAAUUCAGGGAUAAAUUAGAAAACAAGAUCGCAGUAAUGCUGAGGAAUUGCCUCCUGCUCAAGUAUGAACACGACAAGAUGGAGCAGUACUCCCGAAGAGAGAACUUACGUAUUUCUAGAUGAGAGGAAGAAGAGGACGAAAGUGAGGAGGUGCUGGAAGCUAAAGUUAUAGAACAUGCUGACACUAUUGAAGUGAAAAUUGAGCAGGAUGACAUUUCUGUUGUUCACCAUUUGCGGAGGCCCAGGGAAGGAGGUAGGCCAGUGAUUGUGAGGUUUUGCCACCGAAAGAAAAGAAAUUAAAUUAUGCAAAAUAAGAAAAAAAAAAAAAAAAAACUGAAAGGUAGGCAAAGAAAAGUGUAUAUAAAUGAUGACAUGACCUCCUUAAGGGUUAAAAUGUUGAAUAUGGUUAAAGGGCAAGAAACAGUGAAAAAUGUGUCCACAAGGGAGGGGAGCAUUCUUGUAUAGUUGCACAGUGGGGGUAGACCUGUAGUUAUAAACUGUCCUGAUGACUUAGAAAAGGUUGUUAUAUCUGCUCCUGAUUGGAAAAGGUUAAAUCUAGAUCACUUAACAAGGGCCUAGGAUGGCCCUGCUGGGGCACAGCACAUACUUGGGCAUGAUAAUAGUGUUAGUGUAAGUAAUAUUAACUCUGUUCAGUUUGUUCCUCCCCUGGAUUAUAUUAAUGUGUCGUCUCUUAAUGUCUGCGGUAUCAAGUCAAAGUUUUUAUCUAUGAAUUUUGUUAACUUUAUUAAAGAUUAUGGUGUGAUUUGUUGAUGUGAAACUAAGUGUGAUGAUACUGAUGUAAUUAAUGUAAAAAACAAUAUGGAAAAUAUCGGCUUUGACAUUGUCUUUAAGGACAAAAGCAAAUUAAGCAGGUUUAAAUCUGGGGGUUUGCUCAUGGCCAUCAAGAAAAAUGCUAGUUUUAAGUGGAGGCAUAUUAGUAACACUUAUGAUUCUUUACUUUCAGUUAAAGUUGAUAGAAGUAGUGUAAAUUUUGGUAGGGAACUGGUAAUAAGCUGUGUUUACAUUCCCCCCUCACACUCUAGAUGUGGUAAUGAAGAGCACUAUGACGAGCUGGAUGAUUUUUUGCUUACUUACUCAUGUGAUGAUUAUGUGCAUUGCAUGUGCUUUGUGGUGAUUUUAAUGCUCACACUCUCACUAUGUCUGAUGUUCCUUCUGAGGCUGCUGAGGACCCUGUGUCUGUAAGUUUAACUAAUUUUGGAAUAACUGAGACUAGAGCAAACCAGGACUUAACCCCAGAUAGGAAUUCAUAUGAGAAAAAGUUGUUGGAUGUUUGUAAGAAUGAUCAAGUUUAUAUAUUGAAUGGAAGGUUAGGGGAGGACUGCAGCAUUGGCAAACAAUACAACUAUUGACUACUUUUUAGGAUCACCAUUGAUUGUGAAAUAUGUUGUAGUUCUUAAAGUAUUAGAUUAUGAACCUUUGUGGUCUGAUGUACACUGUGGACUACAUGCAAGGAUCAAAUGUGAGAUGCAAAGUACGGUGCCUGUUGUAAACCGAGAGGCAAAGGAAUCAAGACAAUCAGGUGUAAGGCAAAGUAAAUGGAAUGUUGAAAAACAAUUUUUAUGUGUGAGUAAUAUUGAUGAAACUAAGAUAAAUGAACUGAUUGCAAAAGUGGAUGAAUUACCCAUGGAUGCUAUUAAUCUAGAUUUAAAACAAAUACUGAUUGAGGUGGCACUUGCAACUUUCCCACCAUAUAAGAAAAGAUCAUUCAUGAAAAAGUCCAAUAAUGCCACCUCAGUGGGAUAUGAUAAAGAGUGCUGGCCAUCUAGAAAGGAAUACCACAAAGCUAGACAGAGAUUUCAUUUGCAUAGUGAAAAUUUUAACAACAUGAUUGAGAAAAGCAGGAAAAAUAAAGCAAAUCUAAAAAGAGUGAAGAAUAAGGAGAUGGAUAACUUAAUAAAGAAAUUUAGAAAAUAUAAGAGUGAUGACCCUAAAGCAUAUUGGAAAAUUUUAAAUAGUCAGAAAAGAACUUAUCAGAUCCCAAGAACACUAAAUGAAUUCUAUGACCAUUUUAAGCAGCUAGCGGGUGAUGAAAAUUCUGACAAUAGUGAUGUGAAUAUUACAAAUGAUGAAGACUGUGCGGAUGCUGAAAUUUUAUCAGUACUUAAUGAUCCUAUAAGGGAAGGAGAGGUAGUUAAAAAUAUUAAGAAGUAAAAAAAAAAACAAUAAAUCCCCAGCAUCUGAUAUGAUAUUAAAUUAAUAUAUUAAAAAGUACUUGAUACUGGUGUCAUGCCAGCUGAAUGGUUGGUGGGUACAAUAGUGCCACUCUAUAAAAACAAGGGAGACAUCCAGGAUGUUAAUAAUUACAGGGCCAUCACCUUACUUAGCUGCAUGGGGAAGCUGUUCACCUCCAUACUUAAUGAAAGACUUAAUGAUUAUUCAAACACCUUAUCUACCAUUAAUGAAACACAAACGGGCUUCAGACACAGAUAUUCCACUCUGGAUCAUAUAUUUUUUCUUCAAAUGUGUCAUUGAUUUAUUUAAGUGGAAGAAGAGAAAGCUAUUUUGUUUAUUUGUUGAUUACAAGAAAGCCUUUGAUAUGGUACAGUGUGAAGAUUUAUGGUGUAAACUUGUGAAGGAAGAGAUGCAAGGAAAAAUUCUAAAUGUAAUCAGAAAUAUGUACAAUAAUAUCAGAUCAUGUGUCAUGCUUAACCAGGAGAUUUCAGACACCUUUGUUUGCAAUGUAGGGGUAAGACAGGGGGAAAAUUUAUCAUCGGUGCUUUUUGCUUUUUAUGUGAAUGAUAUUGAAAGUAAAUUAAUUUAAUAUAAUUGCAGUUAUGUAAAUUUUGGUGACGAUUUCUUAAACAUGUAUCUUAAACUAUUUGUGAUUAUGUAUGCAGAUGAUACAAUUAUUUUGUGUGACAGUGAGGAUGGAAUGAAGCAGGCACUGGUUGCUCUGAAUUUAUAUUGUAAUGAAUGGAAAUUGAAGCUAAAUUGUAACAAAACAAAAAUAGUAGUGUUUAGCAGGGGAAGACAAAAUUUAACUAUGAACUUGAAUUUGGUGGUAAAAACAUUGAAGUAGUGACAGAGUAUAAGUAUCUUGGAGUAUUAUUAAAUUAUAAUGGGAGGUUUUGCAAAGGUGAGCUGGAGCUAAAAGAGACACCUACAAGAGCAAUGUACUCAUUAAUAAGUAAGUGUAGGAAGUUUGACUUGCCAGUGGAUAUACGAGUACAACUCAAAUUAUUUACCACCACGGUGUUACCUAUAUUGACUUGUGCAGCUGAAAUUUUGGGUUACCAUAUUGCUAGGGAGUUAGAGUAUAUGUACAUGAAAUUUUUAAAGCAGGUUUUGGAUGUUCAUGAGAAUACUUGUAAUGACAUGGUGUAUGGUGAACUGGGUGUAUUUCCACUUGAUAUUUAUAUAAAGAAAAAAAAUGAUAGGUUAUUGGUCUAAGCUAAUUUCAGGUAAAAAUACUAAACUGUGUUAUUUAAUGUACCAAUGUCUAUUGCAGCUGGAUAGGUUAGGGCUUCAUAGUUCUCCAUGGUAAACUUGUAUAAAGAAUAUUUGUAAUGACUGUGGAAUGUCUGGUAUGUGGUGUUGCAAGAUGUUCCUAAUUCAAGAUGGGUGAAGAAAGCUAUGGAACAGAGAUUGAAAGAUCAGUGGCUUGUAACUUGGCAUCAUAAUUUAGAAACAAAAUCAUUAAGUAGCAGUUAUAGGGUGUUUAAGACAGAUUUUGGCAGAGAACAGUAUUUAGAACAGUUAACAAAGGGUGACAGAUUAUUAGUGACUAAAUUUAGAAGUUGUAAUAAUAGACUUCCUGUAAAUGUUGGUAGGUAUCAAGGUGUCAGUAGAGAAGAUAGGGUAUGUAACAUGUGUAAUGCUGAGGUAGAAGGAGAAGAAUUUCAUGUUCUUUUUGAAUGUACUGAUAUGGAAAUUGUUAGGUUAGGUAAUAUGUAUAUAGCAAAUUACAUAAAUAGGCCAACACAAUUCAAAUAUGUUUUGUUCAUGCAAAGUAUAAGUUCAAAUGUGAUAAAGAAAUUAUCUUUGAUUUUUGAGGAUGGUGCUACGCUUGUUUAGAUAAACAGUGUGCAAAACACCUCAAUAGUUUUUUUUAAAUUUCUUAAUUAGUGACAGUAUGUAUCAUUAUAUAUGCAUACACAUUUUUUUAUAUAAAUUUUUUGCCAUUGCUUACAGCGUAUUUCAUUUGUAUGUAUUUGUCUUUUCUUAUGUAAUAUUAUGCACGUUCUGUAUAUAAUCUACUGUGUCUGUAUUCUUUUGCUGGAGAGCUGUGCUCCAUACUUUAUAGAAAGUCUGACCUUACUCAAUAAAUUCAAUUCAAUUCA